This 1248-nucleotide ribosomal RNA is filed under the name Leuconostoc mesenteroides. RNAcentral's name for it is "bacterial SSU rRNA". It matches the Rfam family "Bacterial small subunit ribosomal RNA", at positions 51 to 1285 of the family's 1533-position model. Lineage: Bacteria; Bacillati; Bacillota; Bacilli; Lactobacillales; Lactobacillaceae. The record is from RNAcentral.
AUGCUGCAAGUCGAACGCACAGCGAAAGGUGCUUGCACCUUUCAGUGAGUGGCGAACGGGUGAGUAACACGUGGACAACCUGCCUCAAGGCUGGGGAUAACAUUUGGAAACAGAUGCUAAUACCGAAUAAAACUUAGUGUCGCAUGACACAAAGUUAAAAGGCGCUUCGGCGUCACCUAGAGAUGGAUCCGCGGUGCAUUAGUUAGUUGGUGGGGUAAAGGCCUACCAAGACAAUGAUGCAUAGCCGAGUUGAGAGACUGAUCGGCCACAUUGGGACUGAGACACGGCCCAAACUCCUACGGGAGGCUGCAGUAGGGAAUCUUCCACAAUGGGCGAAAGCCUGAUGGAGCAACGCCGCGUGUGUGAUGAAGGCUUUCGGGUCGUAAAGCACUGUUGUAUGGGAAGAACAGCUAGAAUAGGAAAUGAUUUUAGUUUGACGGUACCAUACCAGAAAGGGACGGCUAAAUACGUGCCAGCAGCCGCGGUAAUACGUAUGUCCCGAGCGUUAUCCGGAUUUAUUGGGCGUAAAGCGAGCGCAGACGGUUUAUUAAGUCUGAUGUGAAAGCCCGGAGCUCAACUCCGGAAUGGCAUUGGAAACUGGUUAACUUGAGUGCAGUAGAGGUAAGUGGAACUCCAUGUGUAGCGGUGGAAUGCGUAGAUAUAUGGAAGAACACCAGUGGCGAAGGCGGCUUACUGGACUGCAACUGACGUUGAGGCUCGAAAGUGUGGGUAGCAAACAGGAUUAGAUACCCUGGUAGUCCACACCGUAAACGAUGAACACUAGGUGUUAGGAGGUUUCCGCCUCUUAGUGCCGAAGCUAACGCAUUAAGUGUUCCGCCUGGGGAGUACGACCGCAAGGUUGAAACUCAAAGGAAUUGACGGGGACCCGCACAAGCGGUGGAGCAUGUGGUUUAAUUCGAAGCAACGCGAAGAACCUUACCAGGUCUUGACAUCCUUUGAAGCUUUUAGAGAUAGAAGUGUUCUCUUCGGAGACAAAGUGACAGGUGGUGCAUGGUCGUCGUCAGCUCGUGUCGUGAGAUGUUGGGUUAAGUCCCGCAACGAGCGCAACCCUUAUUGUUAGUUGCCAGCAUUCAGAUGGGCACUCUAGCGAGACUGCCGGUGACAAACCGGAGGAAGGCGGGGACAACUUCGAAUCAUCAUGCCCCUUUUAACCGGGGCUACACCCGGGCUACAAGGGGGUAAACAACAAAUUGCCACCCGCCGGGGGGGGCUAAUUCCUUAAAGACG